This 1200-nucleotide ribosomal RNA is filed under the name Automola atomaria. RNAcentral's name for it is "partial 16S ribosomal RNA". Lineage: Eukaryota; Metazoa; Arthropoda; Insecta; Diptera; Richardiidae. The record is from RNAcentral.
UCAAUAUAAAUUGAUCAAUAAUUAUUUAUUAAUUGUUUUAUUAUUCAAUUUAAAGUAUUAAAAAUAAUUAUAUAGUGGAUUGUUUAAGUAUUUUAUAAAGAAAAAAUAACUUUAUAAUAGUGUAAUAGUAUUGUGAAAGAAAAUUGAAAAAAUUGAAAAAUUUUUGUUUUAAAAGAAAAAUUUAUUUUUUGUACCUUGUGUAUCAGGGUUUAUCAAAUUAAAUAUAUAAAUUAUAUAUUUCUCGAUUUCAAUAGAGAUAAUAAGUUAUAAAAGUUAAUGUGACAAAAUUAUUUUGAAUAAUUUAUUAGAAAUGAAAUGUUAUUCGUUUUUGAAGGUAUCUAGUUCCUUUAGAAAUAAAUUUAAUUUAGGAGUAUUUUAUAAAAUGUAUUAAUUAUUUAAUAUAUUUUAAAUUUAUUCUAAUAUUCUACGGGAUAAGCUGUGGAAUAAAUUAUUAAAAAUAAGUAAUUUAUUUAAUUAAAUAUAUGCUUAGAAUUAGCAAUUAUUAAUGAGUUUGUUUUAAAAUAUUUUAUAAAUAUAUUAUUUACUGAAUUUUAAUUUUUUAUAAAGGUUUUCAAUUUAAUAAAAUAUUUGAAGUAAUAAUGAUAAAAUUAGUAUAUAUUUAUGUAUAGAUAUUUUUAUAAGGAAAGUUUGUGUAAAGAAUUCGGCAAAUUUUUAUGCCCGCCUGUUUAACAAAAACAUGUCUUUUUGAAUAUAUUUAAAGUCUAGCCUGCCCACUGAUUUAUUAAAUGGCCGCAGUAUACUGACUGUGCAAAGGUAGCAUAAUCAUUAGUCUUUUAAUUGAAGGCUGGUAUGAAUGGUUGGACGAGGUAUAAACUGUUUCAUAUAAAUUUAUAAUAGAAUUUUAUUUUUUAGUCAAAAAGCUAAAAUUUAUUUAAAAGACGAGAAGACCCUAUAAAUCUUUAUAUUUAAUGUUUUUUUAAUUAUUUAGAAUUGGUUUAUUUUAAAAAUAUUAAAUAUUUCAUUGGGGUGAUGUUAAAAUUUAUUAAACUUUUAAUUUUUGUUUAACAUUGAUAUAUGAAUAAUUGAUCCAUUAUUAGUGAUUAUAAAUUUAAGUUACUUUAGGGAUAACAGCGUAAUCUUUUUGGAGAGUUCAUAUCGAUAAAAAGGUUUGCGACCUCGAUGUUGGAUUAAGAUAUAAUUUUAGGUGUAGCCGCUUAAAUUUUAAGUCUGGUCGACUUU